GACGAACGCUGGCGGCGUGCCUAACACAUGCAAGUCGAGCGGGGAUGUAUGGAGGAAGUUUUCGGAUGGAAUCGAUACAUCCUAGCGGCGGACGGGUGAGUAACGCGUGAGCAACCUGCUUUUCACAGGGGGAUAACGGAUCGAAAGAUCCACUAAUACCGCAUGAGACCACGAUACCGAGGGGUAGAGGGGUCACAGGAGCAAUCCGGUGAAAGAUGGGCUCGCGUCCGAUUAGGUAGUUGGUGGGGUAAUGGCUCACCAAGACAAUGAUCGGUAGCCGACCUGAGAGGGUGAUCGGCCACACUGGAACUGAGAGACGGUCCAGAAUCCUACGGGAGGCAGCAGUGGGGAAUAUUGGGCAAUGGGGGAAACCCUGACCCAGCAACGCCGCGUGAGGGAAGAAGGUUUUCGGAUUGUAAACCUCUGUCCUUGGUGAAGAGCAGAAGACGGUAGCCAAGGAGGAAGCCCCGGCUAACUACGUGCCAGCAGCCGCAGUAA
This 498-nucleotide ribosomal RNA is filed under the name uncultured bacterium. Its description in RNAcentral is "partial 16S ribosomal RNA". It matches the Rfam family "Bacterial small subunit ribosomal RNA", at positions 28 to 523 of the family's 1533-position model. The record is from RNAcentral.